UAGAAAAUACGAGGAAAUGGAAAAGAACUAUCAGACAAAGCUAGAUGAUCUUAAAUUGAGCCAUGAAUCUCAAUUGGGAGACAUGAAAUUAAAGUACGAUGAUGUAUCGAAUCGUCUCAAUCUUUUGAUGGCUCAUGUUGGUAUCCAAGUAAACCCAAGUGGAAGUACAAGUGAACAAGUUGGAGAAAUAUCUAGGAGUUGAUGCUGGAAGUACAAGAUGUUAAUAAAUUUUACAAUUAGCAUGCUACUCUAAACUAGAUCAUUUUGUUUAGUAUUUUGACUACUACUGUAUUUGCAGCGACAUUUUAGUUUGUAUGACUCAAGGCAUUUGUUAUACAAUUAUUAUAUAGAUUACUCUUUUGUAUCAUUUCAACUG
Long non-coding RNA from Rosa rugosa (rugosa rose), 376 nucleotides. RefSeq lists it as uncharacterized. The transcript is spliced from 2 exons. The record is from RefSeq and is a predicted model, not a curated record. Lineage: Eukaryota; Viridiplantae; Streptophyta; Magnoliopsida; Rosales; Rosaceae.